UACAGAGGGUGCAAGCGUUAAUCGGAAUUACUGGGCGUAAAGGGUGCGUAGGUGGCCAGGUAAGUUUGGUGUGAAAGCUCGGAGCUUAACUCCGAAAAGUCAUUGAAUACUAUCUGGCUGGAGGGUCGGAGGGGAGACUGGAAUUCUCGGUGUAGCAGUGAAAUGCGUAGAUAUCGAGAGGAACACCAGUGGCGAAGGCGAGUCUCUGGACGACUCCUGACACUGAGGCACGAAAGCUAGGGGAGCAAACAGG
RNAcentral lists this ribosomal RNA (253 nucleotides) under uncultured bacterium. RNAcentral's name for it is "partial 16S ribosomal RNA". It matches the Rfam family "Bacterial small subunit ribosomal RNA", at positions 524 to 776 of the family's 1533-position model. The record is from RNAcentral.